RNAcentral lists this long non-coding RNA (635 nucleotides) under Rattus norvegicus (Norway rat). RNAcentral's name for it is "long non-coding RNA NONRATT005680". Lineage: Eukaryota; Metazoa; Chordata; Mammalia; Rodentia; Muridae. The record is from RNAcentral.
GCGACGGCCGUUGAGUGAGAGGCACCGAGGAGGGGGCCCUGGCCUGGGAGGGCGCUGCCCUUGCUCCAGUCCUCCGACCCUGGCAGCAGGCUACUUGGGCCGCUGAGGCUUCAAACCGUGGCCUCUCGGCGGCAUCGCCCUCCUGCCGCCGUGACUUAGCAAGAAAAGUAUUCUUGGGUGGGAAGGGCGUGGAUAGCAGGUCGCUCUCUGAUCUUGGGGAAAGGGCUCAGCCCUCCUGGGCCGCGGAAACGAACCCGCAGUCCCCACCCCUCCGCGGCUGGCGGCUCGCCGCCGGGGCUCCAGCAGCUACCAGGCCUUCCAGGCGUCCGGUUCUCCACUUGUCCUUAGGUUGGUGGUCGAACUGAAGAGGAUGGUCGGCCGCGCAGGCCCUUGGCCCCCCGGUGCGGUAGGAGUCCAGGCUCUGCACUCACUAAAGAUCUGCAGCAUCCACCCACCGAAUCGGGCAGGAUUUUCCUUUUUGCUACUGACUCCUCGCACGGGAGUUGCCUUUUGACGUUGCUAACACUGAGCUAGUUCCUAGGUUCUCUGCCAUUCCCUUCAUCCCAUCUCUCUACUCUAUUAGGAAACGCCGUGACUAUUUAUUUACUGUCUCUAGCUUCCCAGGUGAGAAAAAA